AUAUUGUGCUAUGUUACAUGUAUAUAGAAUGAUUGAUGGAAUGAAGUUGGAAGAAAGUUAGAAAUUUGGAGAAGGAUCUCAAGAGGACUUCGAGGGAACUCCCGGCGAAGCGUCUUAGAGCUAAUUUCUCAAACUUUGACUUUUGAUACUUGGUUUGGAAGUGGAAGUUCUGAGGCUUAAUUAGUGACCCCCAA
Non-coding RNA from Coffea arabica (coffee), 194 nucleotides. The record is from RefSeq and is a predicted model, not a curated record. Lineage: Eukaryota; Viridiplantae; Streptophyta; Magnoliopsida; Gentianales; Rubiaceae.